GUAGGGAAUAUUGGGCGAUGGAUGCAAGUCUGACCCAGCCAUCCCGCGUGCCGGAAGAAGGCCCUCAGGGUUGUAAACGGCUUUUGACGGUGAAGAAUCGACAGGAUGCGUCCUGUUUUGACGGUAGCCGUUGAAUAAGCACCGGCUAACUCCGUGCCAGCAGCCGCGGUAAUACGGAGGGUGCGAGCGUUGUCCGGAUUUAUUGGGUUUAAAGGGUGCGUAGGCUGGAAGGUCAGUCAGCGGUGAAAAGCUGUCGCUUAACGAUAGUCUUGCCGCAGAUACUUCCUUUCUUGGAUGAGGAGGAGGCCACUGGAACGGAUGGUGUAGCGGUGAAAUGCAUAGAUAUCAUCCAGAACACCGAUUGCGAAGGCAGGUGGCUGUACCUUAAUCGACGCUGAUGCACGAAAGCAUGGGGAGCAAACAGGAUUAGAUACCCUUGUAGUCC
RNAcentral lists this ribosomal RNA (445 nucleotides) under uncultured bacterium. RNAcentral describes it as "partial 16S ribosomal RNA". It matches the Rfam family "Bacterial small subunit ribosomal RNA", at positions 354 to 796 of the family's 1533-position model. The record is from RNAcentral.